Long non-coding RNA from Mirounga angustirostris (Northern elephant seal), 2631 nucleotides. RefSeq lists it as uncharacterized. The transcript is spliced from 4 exons. NCBI's taxonomy places the organism in Eukaryota, Metazoa, Chordata, Mammalia, Carnivora, Phocidae. The record is from RefSeq and is a predicted model, not a curated record.
GGCUGCUGGAUUAAACUUUGAUGAAGAGUCCUUUGGCUAUAACAUUUUCAUUUUAUGGUUUGGGAAAUCAUCUCACCACCCCUUUUUGUCCAAUCUCAAAUACUUGGAUUAUUGGCGUUCUCAAUUCCUUAUAGUCUGUGCCAACAUUGGGAGGAAUCAAGACAAUUCAGCUCUUUGGAAUUCUGCAUUUGGAAGCUGCCUGAUAUGAGGAUCCUGAAAAACCAAAGACAGGAGUGGCUAGGUGGAAAAAUAGCUAAGGCUGACUUUUUAAGGCAGCGUUAACCACUCUGACUUGGUCUUUGGUAUGGUUUGGGGUGAACUGGUUUCUCACCUGUCUAAAAUUAGGUAUCCAGUUUUUCCUAUCUUUAUUCAACUUAGCCAAGUAUUUUACAGAUAGGGAGGCAGAACCAUCAAGCUUUAUAAAGGAAUUGCUUAGCACUACAAGGAGAUCAAGGCUGUGUGAGGACAAAGGAUUGACUCUACCACUUUGGUUGAAGUGAGCAGUCCAGUAAUUGAUUUCUAAAUCAACACCCAGAAGAAAAUAAUCCUCAGUUUCUCUCCGCCUCCCAUUCUUCAUGUGCCCAGUCAACCACCAGGCAUUAUUCUUGUUCUGAAACACUAUGGGGACAGGAGGACUAUUUGAGCAGACUUCACAUUCUUGGAAGUUCCCAAAUUUACAAGUUUGACCUUUUCUGGAAAUGAGGACCUGCAGGUAGUUCUGCUUUUAUUCACCCCUUACUGGAAGCCUGUUAGUGAAUUCUUCUUGAGGCCUGAACCUGCUUCAUUUUGCCCUGUCAUGGGGUCAGUCAUUUCUAUUACGGCUUGUUUCAAAGCAUGUACCUUUUAUUAACCUAAAUCCGUUGGAAAGAAUGUGGAGACCAAAGAAGAGGAAACACAAGAUUGGAGCUGUUCUGUUUGAUGUUCUCCAAAGAAUAAACACCCAAUCUUCUGCAAGGAUCAAGGCAAGGCAUCACAGGAGGGGAAUCUGAGGUUAUGUUAUUGGACUCCAAGGAUAUGUUACUGGUACAAUUAAUGGUCUGCUUUGAUUCCCAACUCUCCCCCCACGUACCUGGGACCUUCGAUCCCGGAGCCCUUCCGGGGCUCCGCAGCUGCAACUGGCUUGCUCCUCCUUGGCAACUCCUUCUGCAAGACCUAGGGCUUCUCCACUCGGCCAAAUCCUCCAUCCACUUUCUGGCCUCCGAAAAGGAUUUGACAUCUCUCAGGAGCAGUCAUCAUCUCUCUCGUUCUGUGUGGGUUUAGACCUUUUUGCUCCCUCUUCCAUCAUGUUUGUGUGUUUCAGGGGAGCACAGAGAUUAAGUGCAUGGGUCCUCUCCACCAUGUUUCUCUAUGAUUCAUGUAAACAUUUUCCAUAUCAUGAGUACGGAGGUAGCAAAGUGAAUGAUGAAAAGUACACCCACGGUGUUUGGGUCCAGAUCCCUGGUUCUACUACUUUUGAGCUGUGUAAUCUUGGGCAGGCUUUCUGUGCUCACAUUCCUCAUUUAUAAAAUGGGGAUAACAGUGGGACUGGUCGCAAAAUUGUAUGAAUGUGUGGCGUGGUACUGGACACUUAUUAAGCACUCCGAAGGUUUAAAAUGUUAUUAAAGAAAGGGUACAGCAUUCCUUAAUUGGAAAGGAUGAAAUGAAGUGCAUGGCAGACUCAGUCAGUAAAGCAUGAUGAUGUGGGAAACAAAGGCAGAAGAAUAAUUACUAAAUUCCCUUACUACCUAGAGCCCACUGACAAGUUCUUGAUACAGAGUGACAUUCCUCUAGGGACUCAGCUGCCUCGAUAUUGACACUUAGCUAAGGGCAAAAGACAAUCCUAGCCUGACCCCCACACCCCAGGAUCCUGUAAGUCUACUUUAACAUAUAAAAAUUCCUUUAGAAAUUUCCUUUAUCUCUAAACUCCCAAGAUAUGUGUUGGCAAUCAUCCCCCAAGCAUAUGGCCCACCAAUAUACAUCUGAAGGGUCUCAUGACUAAGGUUUUAUUAGACAGUAAUAAAUGACCUUUUCUCAACAACAGCUAGCCCCCUCAAGGUCCUGGAAACCUUGCUUCCAAAAUUCCUUAGAGAUUUAUGCUAUCCCUAACCCCUUCCCAACUUGAAAGUAUAUAGUGGGCCACUCACUCCUCAUGACCCCAGUGCAGCUCUUUCUUCCCACAGGUCCUGUCCCCGUGCUUUAAUAAAACCACCUUUUUGCACCAAAAAAUGUCUCAAGAAUUCUUUCGUGGCCGUCAGCUUUGAACCGUAACGUUCUUUCCUACAUCACAUGUGACUCCUGAUCUCUAGGUCAUAAGUCCGAGCCCCACGUUCGGCGUAGAGCAUACUUAAAAAAAAAAAAAAAAAAAAGGAAAGGACAAAGUGAUAUUGAUUAAUUCUGCCAAAAGCUAAAGGAGAACAGUUGAUUCUCUGAUCAUCUUAACCUGAAGUUGACUGUAUUCUCGAGGCUUUAGCAGCUUUGAAUCUUGCAGUUUCACAUUUGUCCUGCAGGUGGCAACCUUUGUCACCAAAACUGUUCCUCAGCCAGAGCUAACCCGGAGGGGAAAACAUACCCUCUGUCAUUUUUUUUUUUUUUUUUUUAAGAUUUUAUUUAUCUAUUUGACAGAGAGACACACAGCGAGAGAGGGAACACAAG